This 827-nucleotide ribosomal RNA is filed under the name uncultured Comamonas sp. RNAcentral's name for it is "bacterial SSU rRNA". It matches the Rfam family "Bacterial small subunit ribosomal RNA", at positions 77 to 902 of the family's 1533-position model. The record is from RNAcentral. Lineage: Bacteria; Pseudomonadati; Pseudomonadota; Betaproteobacteria; Burkholderiales; Comamonadaceae.
UCUUCGGAUGCUGACGAGUGGCGAACGGGUGAGUAAUACAUCGGAACGUGCCUAGUAGUGGGGGAUAACUACUCGAAAGAGUAGCUAAUACCGCAUGAGAUCUACGGAUGAAAGCAGGGGAUCGCAAGACCUUGUGCUACUAGAGCGGCUGAUGGCAGAUUAGGUAGUUGGUGGGGUAAAGGCUCACCAAGCCAGCGAUCUGUAGCUGGUCUGAGAGGACGACCAGCCACACUGGAACUGAGACACGGUCCAGACUCCUACGGGAGGCAGCAGUGGGGAAUUUUGGACAAUGGGCGAAAGCCUGAUCCAGCAAUGCCGCGUGCAGGAUGAAGGCCCUCGGGUUGUAAACUGCUUUUGUACGGAACGAAAAGCUCUGGGCUAAUAUCCCGGAGUCAUGACGGUACCGUAAGAAUAAGCACCGGCUAACUACGUGCCAGCAGCCGCGGUAAUACGUAGGGUGCAAGCGUUAAUCGGAAUUACUGGGCGUAAAGCGUGCGCAGGCGGUCAUGUAAGACAGAGGUGAAAUCCCCGGGCUCAACCUGGGAACGGCCUUUGUGACUGCAUGGCUAGAGUACGGUAGAGGGGGAUGGAAUUCCGCGUGUAGCAGUGAAAUGCGUAGAUAUGCGGAGGAACACCGAUGGCGAAGGCAAUCCCCUGGACCUGUACUGACGCUCAUGCACGAAAGCGUGGGGAGCAAACAGGAUUAGAUACCCUGGUAGUCCACGCCCUAAACGAUGUCAACUGGUUGUUGGGUCUUAACUGACUCAGUAACGAAGCUAACGCGUGAAGUUGACCGCCUGGGGAGUACGGCCGCAAGGUUGAAACUC